Molecule: small nuclear RNA, 164 nt
Organism: Carassius auratus (goldfish)
Lineage: Eukaryota; Metazoa; Chordata; Actinopteri; Cypriniformes; Cyprinidae
Gene: U1
Rfam family: U1 spliceosomal RNA
About the family: U1 is a small nuclear RNA (snRNA) component of the spliceosome (involved in pre-mRNA splicing).
Source: Ensembl
AUACUUACCUGGCAGGGGAGACACCAUGAUCAAGAAGGCGGUUCACCCAGGGCAAGGCUUGUCCAUUGCACUCCGGCCAUGCUGAUCCCUGCGAAUUCCCCAAAUGCGGGAAUCUCGACUGCAUAAUUUAUGGUAGUGGGGGACUGCGUUCACGCUCUCCCCUG